UACGGAGGAUGCGAGCGUUAUCCGGAUUUAUUGGGUUUAAAGGGUGCGUAGGCGGCUUAGUAAGUCAGCGGUGAAAUUUUGCAGCUUAACUGUAACAGUGCCGUUGAUACUGCCAGGCUAGGAUUUGGUUGCUGUGGGUGGAAUGUGUGGUGUAGCGGUGAAAUGCUUAGAUAUCACACAGAAUAUCGAUUGCGAAGGCAGCUCACAAAGCCAAGAUUGACGCUGAGGCACGAAGGUGUGGGGAUCAAACA
This 251-nucleotide ribosomal RNA is filed under the name uncultured prokaryote. RNAcentral's name for it is "partial 16S ribosomal RNA". It matches the Rfam family "Bacterial small subunit ribosomal RNA", at positions 524 to 774 of the family's 1533-position model. The record is from RNAcentral.